CAGCGGUUAGUUUAAUUAAAAAUGUUAAUUUUGGAGAUUAAUGAUAAGUUUGUUUCUUACCGCUGA
RNAcentral lists this transfer RNA (66 nucleotides) under Tuxedo elongatus. RNAcentral describes it as "tRNA-Pro". The record is from RNAcentral. Lineage: Eukaryota; Metazoa; Arthropoda; Insecta; Hemiptera; Miridae.